Molecule: ribosomal RNA, 1524 nt
Filed under: Triticum aestivum (bread wheat)
Lineage: Eukaryota; Viridiplantae; Streptophyta; Magnoliopsida; Poales; Poaceae
Description: partial small subunit ribosomal RNA
Source: RNAcentral
AUGGGGAAGGCGGCGGCGGUGGGCACGGCGGUGGUGGUGUGCGCGGCGGUCGGCACGGCCAUGGUGCUCGGCCGGCGCCGGCGCCGCAGGGACGCGGAGCUGCUCGGCGCGGCCGAGGCCGAGAGGAAGCGCAGGGUGGCGGCCGUCAUCGAGGACGUCGAGCGCACGCUCGCCACGCCCACGGCCCUGCUGCGGGGCAUCUCCGACGCGCUCGUCCUCGAGAUGGAGCGCGGCCUGCGCGGGGACAUCCACUCCCAGCUCAAGAUGCUCAUCAGCUACGUCGACCAGCUCCCCACCGGAGACGAACAUGGCUUGUUUUAUGCAUUGGAUCUUGGAGGUACCAACUUCCGUGUUCUGCGAGUCCAACUUGGAGGAAGGGAGAAACGUGUUGCCAAGCAACAGUAUCAGGAAGUCUCUAUUCCACCACACCUGAUGGUCGGAACUUCCUUGGAACUAUUUGAUUUCAUUGCUUCUGUAUUGGCCAAAUUUAUUGAAACUGAAGGUGACGAGUUCCACCUCCCAGUGGGGAGGCAGAGAGAGCUGGGUUUCACCUUUUCCUUUCCGGUAAACCAAUUAUCAAUAUCAUCAGGAACACUCAUCAAGUGGACAAAGGGCUUUUCAAUCAACGGCGCGGUUGGUGAGGAUGUUGUGGCUGAGUUGAGCAAGGCCAUGGAGAGGCAGGGGCUGGAUAUGAAAGUUUCAGCACUGGUUAAUGACACAGUCGGCACAUUGGCUGGUGGGAGAUAUAUGGAUAAUGAUGUGGUUGCUGCCAUAAUAUUGGGCACUGGUACAAAUGCAGCAUAUGUUGAGCAUGCUAAUGCAAUUCCUAAGUGGACUGGACUACUGCCGAAAUCCGGAAAUAUGGUAAUCAACACGGAAUGGGGAAGCUUUAAAUCGGACAAGCUUCCACUUUCAGAAUACGACAAAGCAUUGGACUUCGAAAGUUUGAACCCUGGAGAACAGAUAUAUGAAAAGUUGAUUUCCGGCAUGUAUCUUGGAGAGAUUGUGCGAAGAAUCUUACUGAAAUUGGCUCAUGAUGCUGCAUUAUUUGGGGAUGUUGUUCCAGCUAAGCUGGAACUGCCAUUCGUACUUAGGACCCCAGAUAUGUCUGCCAUGCACCAUGAUGCAUCACAUGACCUUAAAAUUCUGGGAAGUAAGCUAAAGGAUAUCGUUGGGGUUGCGGAUACUUCCCUGGAAGUAAGAUACAUUACUCGUCACAUAUGUGACAUCGUUGCAGAGCGCGGCGCACGCUUGGCCGCUGCUGGCAUAUAUGGCAUCCUGAAGAAGCUAGGCCGGGACAAGGUGCCAACCGACGGCAGCCCGAUGCCAAGGACCGUGGUUGCCUUGGACGGUGGGCUCUAUGAGCACUACAAGAAGUUCAGCAGCUGCUUAGAGGCAACUCUUUCAGAUCUCCUCGGGGACGAGGCCUCUUCUUCGCUGGUUGCCAAGCUGGCCAAUGACGGCUCUGGCAUUGGAGCUGCUCUCCUCGCCGCUUCGCACUCCCAGUACGCUGAUAUCUACUAG